ACGUAGGAGGCGAGCGUUAUCCGGAGUUAUUGGGCGUAAAGCGCGUGUAGGCGGCUUUGCAAGUCGGGUGUGAAAUCCCUCAGCUUAACUGAGGAAGUGCGCCCGAAACUGCAGAGCUUGAGUGCCGGAGAGGAUGGCGGAAUUCCCCAAGUAGAGGUGAAAUGCGUAGAUAUCGGGAGGAACAUCUGUGGCGAAGGCGACUACCUGGACCAGCACUGACACUGAGGCACGAAAGCGUGGGGAGCAAACAGGA
This 253-nucleotide ribosomal RNA is filed under the name uncultured prokaryote. RNAcentral describes it as "partial 16S ribosomal RNA". It matches the Rfam family "Bacterial small subunit ribosomal RNA", at positions 525 to 777 of the family's 1533-position model. The record is from RNAcentral.